This 251-nucleotide ribosomal RNA is filed under the name uncultured bacterium. Its description in RNAcentral is "partial 16S ribosomal RNA". It matches the Rfam family "Bacterial small subunit ribosomal RNA", at positions 88 to 334 of the family's 1533-position model. The record is from RNAcentral.
CCGGCGACCGGCGCACGGGUGAGUAACACGUAUGCAAUCCACCUGUAACAGGGGGAGUAACCCGGGGAAAUCCGGACUAAUACCCCAUAAUAUGGGCUCUCCGCAUGGAGGGUCCAUUAAAGAGAGCAAUUUUGGUUACAGACGAGCAUGCGCUCCAUUAGCCAGUUGGCGGGGUAACGGCCCACCAAAGCGACGAUGGAUAGGGGUUCUGAGAGGAAGGUCCCCCACAUUGGAACUGAGACACGGUCCAA